GCGGACGUAGCUCAGGUGGUAGAGCGCAACCUUGCCAAGGUUGAGGUCGCGAGUUCGAGCCUCGUCGUCCGCU
RNAcentral lists this transfer RNA (73 nucleotides) under Kitasatospora sp. Its description in RNAcentral is "tRNA-Gly". It matches the Rfam family "tRNA". Rfam says of the family: Transfer RNA (tRNA) molecules are approximately 80 nucleotides in length. Their secondary structure includes four short double-helical elements and three loops (D, anti-codon, and T loops). Further hydrogen bonds mediate the characteristic L-shaped molecular structure. tRNAs have two regions of fundamental functional importance: the anti-codon, which is responsible for specific mRNA codon recognition, and the 3' end, to which the tRNAs corresponding amino acid is attached (by aminoacyl-tRNA synthetases). tRNAs cope with the degeneracy of the genetic code in two manners: having more than one tRNA (with a specific anti-codon) for a particular amino acid; and 'wobble' base-pairing, i.e. permitting non-standard base-pairing at the 3rd anti-codon position. The record is from RNAcentral. Lineage: Bacteria; Bacillati; Actinomycetota; Actinomycetes; Kitasatosporales; Streptomycetaceae.